RNAcentral lists this long non-coding RNA (291 nucleotides) under Phaseolus vulgaris (common bean). RNAcentral describes it as "long non-coding RNA (PVUL_LNC001714)". The record is from RNAcentral. Lineage: Eukaryota; Viridiplantae; Streptophyta; Magnoliopsida; Fabales; Fabaceae.
GAGGAGGUACCCCGUAUAGUCUGGGCGUACCACACCACCGAGCAGUCAGGAACCCAUGAGACCCCAUUCAGCUUGGUCUAUGGGUGUGAUGCAAUGAUUCCAGUAGAGAUCCAGGAGAGCUCGCCGAGAUUCCAGAACUUUGUAGAGGAAGACUCGAAUGAAGAGAGAAGGCUGAACCUGGAUCUACUGGAUGAGGUCAGGGAAGAGGCGAGAUUGAAGGCUGAAGCAGUGAAGAGAAGGGUUAAACGAAGAUACAACUCGAAGGUGAUGCCAAGACAGUUUAGAGAAGGC